UUUUGAGCAUCUGUUUUUUCAUAUAUUUGCAAACAUUUUCCAAGUCAUCAGUAUAAAUAAAAAUAAAAAAUAAAAAAACGUAACAUUUCUGUUAAUGAUUCAUUUGGUUCCAAUUACCUUUUUGUUCAUUGUUUGCUCUGAGGCACCGUUGCCAAUAAAGGUUGGUGAAUUGAAGUACCGGUAGGCACUUUACACAUCCACUGAAGAAAAUAGUUCCAAAACAUAUUUGAAUAAGGAGGACAACGAAAUGUAUUUAUUUACAUUGAGAACUUUUGCAACAUCGGUUUUACAUUUGUUAAACCGAUGUAGCACUCUCAAAAAUUAAUCUUGUGUUUCUUGGAAAACGUAAAAUGACCCGCGGAUGGAUAUGCGGUUUCAAAAUCAAGCCUGUUCUCUUCAUCAGUCCGUUGGCGCGGAGUCUGCCUGUUGGCUGAUCUACGAAAGAAUCUGUAAGUACAUUUCUUCUGUUUUACCUAGUACCAAAUUUUAGGGAGAGAUUUUAAAUCGCUUGUUAAAAAAAUUGUUGCUCGUAACAAAUCGGACGACAGUAUCCCAAAAGAGGCUUAAUUGUUAUUGUUAUUUUUGCUUUUCUUUAGGGUGAUACUUUUUCUGAUAUUGCUAACACACACAGCUACACACAAUAGGCAGAUUUUAGUGCAGACCGAUUUCAAACGCAGCGUUGUGGGCCAAACCAUUUUCAAAUACCGCCGCCAUUCUAUUUGUUGAGCUGCCAUUGGUUCAUUUGAGCGCCAACGAGGCAGAAUGAAAUCGGUUCACUGAAGAAUCUAUGUUGCUAGCAGAGGUUGUUACAAAGUGUCUGGACACAAUAAAACCAUUUGUAUGAUUUAAAAAGAGUAACUAUUGUGCUUUCAUUCUAUGUACUUGGGCUUUUAAUAAUCUUUCUCACAGUCACAUCAGCAUGCAUGGGUGGGUCUCAUGUAUGGAUUCAGGCUGGUUUGGCUGGGACCCAUGCAAGAUUAUUAUUGUCGUUUUUUUCAAUAAAACUGCAUUGAAUCGUUUAGCUUUGGGCUAUAUAGGUAAUGAUAAGAGGGCAUGGGUUUUAUCUGGGCCAACUGCGUGAGGCUCAAAAGGUUAACCGAAAUGGGACUCAUAUUGUUGGCUCAAUUGGGUUAAAUGUAUGGGCCCAAUUCAGCAUUAACGUGGGCUAACCGGGCAUGGGACAGAAAUGGGAACACUAUAUGGGGCCCAUGUGGUUUCAGUAUAUUGGGCCUAAAAGGUUUUUUGUAAAUAGGAUGAAGGCAUUGUAGUUCAUAUUUUUAAAUUCUUUUUUUAAUUGUUGUGUGACACUUUAAAGCGUUUUGUUAUGUCAUAGUUUAUUUCAAUCUGCCGCUAUUGUGUUGGUCUAGAGUAGUCAUCAGUGUCAGGGUUCCUGUGUGUGUAUGUGAGUGUCGCAUCUUAUUUCAGCGAGGAUCUUUGUGAGGAGCCCGUGGAGCUUGGCACAGGUGGAGGAGCAGCAGAAUCUUCAGUCUACGCUAGAUUGACUGAAGAUUCUACUGGUGUAUGCUAGAUGGUUGCAUACACCGGUAGUCACUCUGGCCUCUCCUGUUGUGAACAGUUUUCUGAGAACGUUUCUGUGUCUACUAGAAGUCACCUGGUCUCUGUGUUUGUUCGAUCCUAGGGGUUUUGUCGCCUCAUUCGAGAACUCACCAGUGAAUACCUGCCUGCUCGCUCCGCCGAUUCCACUGCCUCCACUCCACCCUUCGAGCUUCCAGCUCUCUUCCAUUCCCACCUCGCAUUUACCUUCGGAACCGCUGCACACCCUCUCUCAGGAACCUGGCAUCUCACACCCACGCCUCGAAAGACCCGCACCGAAGCUUCAAGAGGAUCAGCGUGUGAAGAUCACUUUAUAAUGAUUUGAAAAAGGUUGCCAUGGCUACAGAAAUUGGAGGAGCAUCCUUAGAUGACACAAUACAACCAGCUGUGCGAUUCCUCAUGUCCCAUGAACUGGAAGUCCAGUUCAACCUUUUUGGCCAACAUUGGAAACAAGCUCUUGGACCUGCGUCUCU
Molecule: long non-coding RNA, 2027 nt
Organism: Poeciliopsis prolifica (blackstripe livebearer)
Lineage: Eukaryota; Metazoa; Chordata; Actinopteri; Cyprinodontiformes; Poeciliidae
Exons: 3
Source: RefSeq, a predicted model, not a curated record